Molecule: ribosomal RNA, 440 nt
Filed under: uncultured bacterium
Lineage: Bacteria
Description: partial 16S ribosomal RNA
Rfam family: Bacterial small subunit ribosomal RNA
Source: RNAcentral
CCUACGGGAGGCAGCAGUGGGGAAUAUUGCACAAUGGGGGAAACCCUGAUGCAGCGACGCCGCGUGAGUGAAGAAGUAAUUCGUUAUGUAAAGCUCUAUCAGCAGGGAAGAAAAUGACGGUACCUGUGUAAGAAGCCCCGGCUAACAACGUGCCAGCAGCCGCGGUAAUACGGAGGGAGCAAGCGUUAUCCGGAUUUACUGGGUGUAAAGGGAGCGUAGAGGGCAGUGCAAGUCUGUAGUGAAAGGCGGGGGCUCAACCCCCGGACUGCUGUGGAAACUGUACGGCUGGAGUGCAGGAGAGGUAAGUGGAAUUCCUAGUGUAGCGGUGAAAUGCGUAGAUAUUAGGAGGAACACCAGUUGCGAAGGCGGCUUACUGGACUGUAACUGACGUUGAGGCUCGAAAGCGUGGGGAGCAAACAGGAUUAGAUACCCUGGUAGUC